Molecule: ribosomal RNA, 363 nt
Filed under: uncultured soil bacterium
Lineage: Bacteria
Description: bacterial SSU rRNA
Rfam family: Bacterial small subunit ribosomal RNA
Source: RNAcentral
AGAACGAACGCUGGCGGCAUGCCUAAUACAUGCAAGUCGAACGAACUCUUCGGAGUUAGUGGCGCACGGGUGCGUAACGCGUGGGAAUCUGCCCUUGGGUUCGGAAUAACAGUUGGAAACGACUGCUAAUACCGGAUGAUGACGAAAGUCCAAAGAUUUAUCGCCCAGGGAUGAGCCCGCGUAGGAUUAGCUAGUUGGUGAGGUAAAGGCUCACCAAGGCGACGAUCCUUAGCUGGUCUGAGAGGAUGAUCAGCCACACUGGGACUGAGACACGGCCCAGACUCCUACGGGAGCAGCAGUAGGGAAUAGUUGGACAAUGGGACGAAAGCCUAGAUCCAGCAAUGCCGCGUGAGUGAUGAAGGU